AUUGAACGCUGGCGGCAGGCCUAACACAUGCAAGUCGAGCGGAUGAAGGGAGCUUGCUCCUGGAUUCAGCGGCGGACGGGUGAGUAAUGCCUAGGAAUCUGCCUGGUAGUGGGGGAUAACGUCCGGAAACGGGCGCUAAUAACGCAUACGUCCUGAGGGAGAAAGUGGGGGAUCUUCGGACCUCACGCUAUCAGAUGAGCCUAGGUCGGAUUAGCUAGUUGGUGGGGUAAAGGCCUACCAAGGCGACGAUCCGUAACUGGUCUGAGAGGAUGAUCAGUCACACUGGAACUGAGACACGGUCCAGACUCCUACGGGAGGCAGCAGUGGGGAAUAUUGGACAAUGGGCGAAAGUCUGAUCCAGCCAUGCCGAGUGUGUGAAGAAGGUCUUCGGAUUGUAAAGAACUUUAAGUUGGGAGGAAGGGCAGUAAGUUAAUACCUUGCUGUUUUGACGUUACCAACAGAAUAAGCACCGGCUAACUUCGUG
Molecule: ribosomal RNA, 484 nt
Filed under: uncultured bacterium
Lineage: Bacteria
Description: partial 16S ribosomal RNA
Rfam family: Bacterial small subunit ribosomal RNA
Source: RNAcentral